UCUCUAGGAGCUUAUCCUUCGGAUUUGCAGUACGUCCUUAACUUUUCCUUGGGGAAUGUAUAGGAAAAAGAAAGAAAAUCAGGAACGGAAACAGGAAUUCAAAUACCACUUAUCCCACGAGGGAGCCGAGACCCAAACUGCGAGCCUCUCUUUGAGCAGCCAGGAGCCAGGCUUCCUGGGGUGGGGAACUCAGGGCUCGCUUCUCAGGUCUAGUUCCUCAGGCUUGGGCUCCACUCUGGCUGCGAAGGCCCCAGACCACCUCACCCCACCCUGAGAACGACCUCUUGCUCAGCCACAUGAAGAAGCUGUGGUCUGUGUAACACCAGUACCUACUGGCCUCUCAAGGAGCACACUUUCCACUCUGGAUCCAUUCAGCAUCCAGUCAGCCCAGCUGAGAACCCCAGAGGAGGAAGCACCUGCUUGCCCUGACUUGAAGCUGCAGUUUGCUUGCCAUCCAAAAUGAGUCAUGAAGGCACCGUGGAGCGGAUUUUACUCAUCCCCCAGGAAUGGACUCUUGGAAGGCUCCGGAAUGACUAGCUUCAAGUGUUCUGUCUCAGGCACAGGGCAUUUUACCCCUCUCUAUGUCUGCAGUCACUUCCCUUCUGGACACUUCCUGUUUCUGGGAGCAGGCAGCGAGCCAGGCAGAGCUCAGCC
RNAcentral lists this long non-coding RNA (654 nucleotides) under Cricetulus griseus (Chinese hamster). RNAcentral describes it as "lncRNA (ENSCGRG00015041860.1)". Lineage: Eukaryota; Metazoa; Chordata; Mammalia; Rodentia; Cricetidae. The record is from RNAcentral.